This 82-nucleotide transfer RNA is filed under the name Colletotrichum camelliae. Its description in RNAcentral is "tRNA-Asp". It matches the Rfam family "tRNA". Rfam says of the family: Transfer RNA (tRNA) molecules are approximately 80 nucleotides in length. Their secondary structure includes four short double-helical elements and three loops (D, anti-codon, and T loops). The record is from RNAcentral. RNAcentral also lists the same sequence under 6 other names. Lineage: Eukaryota; Fungi; Ascomycota; Sordariomycetes; Glomerellales; Glomerellaceae.
UCCUCGAUAGUCUAGUGGUGAGGAUAUCGGCUUGUCAUUCUACGAUUCGCCGGGGACCGGGGUUCAAUUCCCCGUCGAGGAG